RNAcentral lists this ribosomal RNA (492 nucleotides) under uncultured bacterium. RNAcentral describes it as "partial 16S ribosomal RNA". It matches the Rfam family "Bacterial small subunit ribosomal RNA", at positions 29 to 507 of the family's 1533-position model. The record is from RNAcentral.
AGUGAACGCUGGCGGUAGGCCUAACACAUGCAAGUCGAACGGCAGCACAGUAAGAGCUUGCUCUUACGGGUGGCGAGUGGCGGACGGGUGCGGAAUACAUCGGAAUCUACUUUUUCUUGGGGGCUAACGUAGGGAAACUUACGCUAUUACCGCAUACGACCUACGGGUGAAAGCAGGGGAUCUUCGGACCUUGCGCGAUUCAAUGAGCCGAUGUCGGAUUAGCUAGUUGGCGGGGUAAAGGCCCACCAAGGCGACGAUCCGUAGCUGGUCUGAGAGGAUGAUCAGCCACACUGGAACUGAGACACGGUCCAGACUCCUACGGGAGGCAGCAGUGGGGAAUAUUGGACAAUGGGCGCAAGCCUGAUCCAGCCAUACCGCGUGGGUGAAGAAGGCCUUCGGGUUGUAAAGCCCUUUUGUUGGGAAAGAAAAGCAGCAGGUUAAUACCCCGCUGUUCUGACGGUACCAAAAGAAUAAGCACCGGCUAACUUCGUG